AUCCAUCUGACGAGUCCCAAAUAGGAUGAAAUCCCCGUCCUGAAU
Molecule: non-coding RNA, 45 nt
Filed under: Trichobilharzia regenti
Lineage: Eukaryota; Metazoa; Platyhelminthes; Trematoda; Strigeidida; Schistosomatidae
Source: RNAcentral